GACAGAGGAGACAAGCGUUGUUCGGAAUCACUGGGCUUAAAGCGCGCGUAGGCGGCCCGUUAAGCGUCUCGUGAAAUCCCACGGCUCAACCGUGGAACUGCGAGGCGAACUGGCGGGCUUGAGGUUGGUAGGGGUGCCUGGAACUCUAGGUGGAGCGGUGAAAUGCGUAGAUAUCUAGAGGAACGCCUGAGGCGAAAGCGGGGCACUGGGCCAAUUCUGACGCUGAGGCGCGAAAGCGUGGGGAGCAAACAGG
This 253-nucleotide ribosomal RNA is filed under the name uncultured bacterium. Its description in RNAcentral is "partial 16S ribosomal RNA". It matches the Rfam family "Bacterial small subunit ribosomal RNA", at positions 524 to 776 of the family's 1533-position model. The record is from RNAcentral.